This 335-nucleotide ribosomal RNA is filed under the name uncultured Planctomycetales bacterium. Its description in RNAcentral is "bacterial SSU rRNA". It matches the Rfam family "Bacterial small subunit ribosomal RNA", at positions 473 to 806 of the family's 1533-position model. Lineage: Bacteria; Pseudomonadati; Planctomycetota; Planctomycetia; Planctomycetales. The record is from RNAcentral.
CUAAGGCUCCGGAGGAAGCCACGGCUAACUCUGUGCCAGCAGCCGCGGUAAUACAGAGGCGGCAAGCGUUGUUCGGAAUUAUUGGGCGUAAAGGGCACGUAGGCGGCUGUGUAGGUCGGUUGUGAAAGCCUUCCGCUCAACGGAAGAACAGCAGCCGAUACUGCAUGGCUUGAGUGCGGGAGGGGAGAGUGGAACUUCUGGUGGAGCGGUGAAAUGCGUAGAUAUCAGAAGGAACGCCGGCGGCGAAAGCGGCUCUCUGGACCGUAACUGACGCUGAGUGUGCGAAAGCUAGGGGAGCAAACGGGAUUAGAUACCCCGGUAGUCCUAGCCGUAAA